Molecule: long non-coding RNA, 795 nt
Organism: Chinchilla lanigera (long-tailed chinchilla)
Lineage: Eukaryota; Metazoa; Chordata; Mammalia; Rodentia; Chinchillidae
Exons: 2
Source: RefSeq, a predicted model, not a curated record
UGGCGGCGGCGCCUCCUUCCUGCGGCCGCCGCUCCCGAGCGCGCGCCCCCUCGCUACUGCGCGUGCCUGGCGCGGGGACCGCUGCAGAGGGAUAACGGCCCCCAGGCGCGCGCCGCGAGGGGAUGAGCAGCGCGGGACAGCAAGAAGCAACCGCAGCGCGCGCACGCCUGAGGGGCUUGCUGCCGCCGCCGCGGCCUGAGGCAGGGAGCGGGCGCGAAAGGAGCAGUGCGCGUGCGCCCCGAGAAAAUGCCGCUACUGCGGCUACUGCGGCGCGAGACUGAGCGCGAGGAGACCCGCGAACGGGCAGAGGGAGCGGGGUGGGCAAGUGCGCGUGCGCAUUAGGGGCUGCCAGGCGGCGCGGCUGCUGGCGCAAGGCGGAGGGAGUGGCUCAAGGGAGGCGCGCGCAAAGCGCGCGCCAGAAGCAGUCGAUCCUCCGCUCGCGCUGGCUCUGGAAGAAAACAGGAGUGGAGAGGCAUGGCCUGGCUCUGGAGGAGACGAAGGGCGCGAUCCCGCUCGCGCGGGACCUGACUAGCCAAUGGGAGGCAAGGCUCCUGAAAUUUGGGAAAGCAGAACCAGGGCUAAGUGGUAGAGGACUUCCACAGCGAACUGGAAGCUCUGGCUUCAAUCUCCGAUCAGGAACAUAAAGGUAGGGGAUUAAGGUAAGACUAUGUGAAGUGCUAAAAAUUAUGCCUUGCAUAUAACAAAGUGUUCUGUAAACACUGAUAAAAUUACAUGGGCUCAAGUUUUAAAACAUGUUUAAACAAAGCUUUUCAGAUUAAAGAUUGUUUCCAACGA